Molecule: long non-coding RNA, 771 nt
Organism: Zea mays
Lineage: Eukaryota; Viridiplantae; Streptophyta; Magnoliopsida; Poales; Poaceae
Exons: 3
Source: RefSeq, a predicted model, not a curated record
AUUGUCCAUGUUAGAUUCUAUCGAUCGAUGCUGAUGUUAGUGAAGUUGAGUUUGGGAAGAAGGUAAGUGUUGGCACCGAUCCAGGCGCCAAUGAGAAGGGCAAGUCGUUGUGCCUAGCAGACACCCUCCGCGCGCACCGCGGCUGUGAUAGACACUGGAUCCAGGCAUGCCACGUUCGUCUACCUGCACGGAGAAUCCGCUAAUGGCAGAUGCAAGUCCUCCACCUAGAUCUAUUAUCGAGGAAGGACAUAGAGAUUUGACGAUGUGUUCGUUUUAAUGGUAGGACGGCAUGACAGGCGACGAAAUCCAGUCAUCUCCUAAGGGAGUGACGUUGUACGAUGGCCACUGCGGGUGGUGGAGCUGGGCGUCGUUCUCGCCGCGGCGCACGUGAUCCAGGACCGCCAUGUCGCGACGCACGAGACCUGCUUUGUGCCAAGACAAAGGUUGCCAAAGUUUGACUUGCAUCUCCAGGUCGCAGCGACAAAGAAAGGUGGGCGAUACGGUGACGACGCGGGAGCACAACCACCAGGUGCAAUUGUUCCACCUACUACUCUCCAUUCCUGCAGAGCACAACCUUUAGGUGUAGCGGUCCAGACUACUACUAAAUAGUAUGUAUGGUAUUGAUUUGGGGACAAUAGUGGGACUGGAGCUUGACGUCGACAUCGUGGCGACGAACGCAACGACAAAGAAGGUGAACACUACAUUUAUCUCGUUUUGUAGGACAUUGAGUUGUCCAAAGAAAUAAAUGAUUCAUUUAGGCAAUCAUCUCGA